RNAcentral lists this transfer RNA (67 nucleotides) under Varioconus echinophilus. RNAcentral's name for it is "tRNA-Asp". Lineage: Eukaryota; Metazoa; Mollusca; Gastropoda; Neogastropoda; Conidae. The record is from RNAcentral. RNAcentral also lists the same sequence under 3 other names.
GAGAGAUUAGUUAAAUUAUAAUAUAAGAUUGUCAGUCUUACGUUACUAGUGAAACUAGUAUUUCUUA